Long non-coding RNA from Tachysurus fulvidraco (yellow catfish), 1280 nucleotides. RefSeq lists it as uncharacterized. The transcript is spliced from 2 exons. The record is from RefSeq and is a predicted model, not a curated record. Lineage: Eukaryota; Metazoa; Chordata; Actinopteri; Siluriformes; Bagridae.
CUGGUAACCUGACGAAUCACAAGGCACAAAACACACCUGUGUAUGCAUGGAGUAUAGCCAUUGGCCAGAGCAUGAAAACGACACCUGGGCAGGGCUCCAAGGUGUACCUGAAGACCCAGAUCUUUUUGUAGACGCAGUUUCUUUGCUUCAGGAGCUUAAGGAGAUUGUGUUUCUUGUAGUGCUUGAGAUUCCACUUCUAUUGUUCCGCUGAUUUGUUGCACCAUCAGCUCUCUUCAAACAGGCUCGUGAACUUUCCGUCAACAUGGAAGGAGCAGUUGGCCCUUCGGGCAAAUGGAAGGAGCAGUUGGCCCUCCAGGCAAAUGGAAGGAGCAGGAAGUAAACUCCAUUGGUUAAAUGGGCAUAGCAAGGAGACACAAUGGCAUUUCUUGUUCACGGCUGCAUCCUGAAUGACCACCUCAGCCAUCAAGAUGUUUUACCACGAAGCUUCACUUUUCCUGUGUGCCUCUAUAAAAUCCUCUGAUUUGCGUCUUACCAGGCAUGUUUAGAUGUCUAGAUGCACUCUCUCUAAUACUGCCUGGUAAUGCUGCAAAUCACAAGGACAUUGUUCAUCAUGACAUUUCUUCUCAGUCAGUAUAGGAAACUUAUUACAUAUGUUAGCAUUAUAACUUUUGUUCAUCUACUGGCCUGAUGUAUCGUUAAUACCAUUAAUAAUUCAAUGAAUUGAUGCAAGUCCUCUAAUAUAAUUAGUAUAUGCAAUAAAUGUUUUUCUUUCAAGUGUAUGUGUGUGUCAUUACAUUUUCUUCUAUUGCCAUGUAUUUUUUCUAAACACUGUGUUAUAGAUAAAUGGUUCACCUCCCAGAACUGUUGAAGAAUAUAAUAGAGCCUUGAUCAAAGGGAGGUGUAAAAAGGGGCAGUUAAAAUUAAACAUGAAGAAAUUAAGUGUCAUGAAGCUGUCAAUCCUUUUUCCUUAUCAGAACAAUUAAACCAUGAAUAUUCAGCUCUGUGCUAAACUGUGUCAUACUUUUGGAUUAAAGCAUUUGCCAAAUAAAUAAUUCUUACUCUUGCUUGAGAAAAGACCCUAGUAAACAUCCACUCCCUGACUAAACAAAUUUUCUCAGCUCCCAAAACAAGGUAAUUUUUCCCAUGACAAAGGGAGACUGGUAAAUAAGAGACCUUCACUUGGCUAUCAUACUGUAUCUGUAUCUAGCUCAGCAUAUUAUGUUCUUGCUUGUCAGGAAAACUUGUUAGCCGUUAGUUUCGUUGUUGUCAUUGUUGUGUGGAAAUAUAACCUUAAAUAAACUUUUAGGUAAACCAACUUA